This 588-nucleotide ribosomal RNA is filed under the name uncultured delta proteobacterium. Its description in RNAcentral is "bacterial SSU rRNA". It matches the Rfam family "Bacterial small subunit ribosomal RNA", at positions 338 to 916 of the family's 1533-position model. The record is from RNAcentral. Lineage: Bacteria; Deltaproteobacteria.
CCUACGGGAGGCAGCAGUGGGGAAUUUUGGGCAAUGGGCGAAAGCCUGACCCAGCAACGCCGUGUGAGGGAUGAAGGCCCUCGGGUCGUAAACCUCUGUCAGGAGGGAAGAAUGGCGGUCUGGUCAAUACCCGGGCCGCGUGACGGUACCUCCAAAGGAAGCGCCGGCUAACUCCGUGCCAGCAGCCGCGGUAAUACGGAGGGCGCAAGCGUUGUUCGGAAUUACUGGGCGUAAAGCGCGUGUAGGCGGCUUGGCAAGUCGGAUGUGAAAGCCCCGGGCUCAACCCGGGAACGGCAUCCGAAACUGCUUGGCUAGAGUCCCGGAGAGGAAGGCAGAAUUCCCAAUGUAGGGGUGAAAUCCGUAGAUAUUGGGAGGAAUACCAGUGGCGAAGGCGGCCUUCUGGACGGUGACUGACGCUCAGACGCGAAAGCGUGGGGAGCAAACAGGAUUAGAUACCCUGGUAGUCCACGCCGUAAACGUUGUGCACUAGGUGUCGGGGGUAUUCACUCCUCCGGUGCCGCCGCUAACGCAUUAAGUGCACCGCCUGAAGAGUACGGCCGCAAGGCUAAAACUCAAAGGAAUUGACGG